RNAcentral lists this ribosomal RNA (468 nucleotides) under uncultured bacterium. RNAcentral describes it as "partial 16S ribosomal RNA". It matches the Rfam family "Bacterial small subunit ribosomal RNA", at positions 28 to 507 of the family's 1533-position model. The record is from RNAcentral.
GACGAACGCUGGCGGCGUGCUUAACACAUGCAAGUCGAACGGAAAGGCCCUGCUUUUGUGGGGUGCUCGAGUGGCGAACGGGUGAGUAACACGUGAGUAACCUGCCCUUGACUUUGGGAUAACUUCAGGAAACUGGGGCUAAUACCGGAUAGGAGCUCCUGCUGCAUGGUGGGGGUUGGAAAGUUUCGGCGGUUGGGGAUGGACUCGCGGCUUAUCAGCUUGUUGGUGGGGUAGUGGCUUACCAAGGCUUUGACGGGUAGCCGGCCUGAGGGGGUGACCGGCCACAUUGGGACUGAGAUACGGCCCAGACUCCUACGGGAGGCAGCAGUGGGGAAUAUUGCACAAUGGGCGGAAGCGUGAUGCAGCAACGCCGCGUGCGGGAUGACGGCCUUCGGGUUGUAAACCGCUUUCGCCUGUGACGAAGCGUGAGUGACGGUAAUGGGUAAAGAAGCACCGGCUAACUACGUG